AUACAUGCAAGUCGAACGCGUCUCCGUUAAUGAUUUUAGGUGCUUGCACUUGAAAGAUUUAACAUUGAGACGAGUGGCGAACUGGUGAGUAACACGUGGGUAACCUGCCCUUGAAGUAGGGGAUAACACUUGGAAACAGGUGCUAAUACCGUAUAACAACCAAAACCACCUGGUUUUGGUUUAAAAGACGGCUUCGGCUGUCACUUUAGGAUGGACCCGCGGCGUAUUAGCUUGUUGGUAAGGUAACGGCUUACCAAGGCGAUGAUACGUAGCCGACCUGAGAGGGUAAUCGGCCACAUUGGGACUGAGACACGGCCCAAACUCCUACGGGAGGCAGCAGUAGGGAAUCUUCCACAAUGGACGAAAGUCUGAUGGAGCAACGCCGCGUGAGUGAUGAAGGGUUUCGGCUCGUAAAACUCUGUUGUUGGAGAAGAACAGGUGUCAGAGUAACUGUUGACAUCUUGACGGUAUCCAACCAGAAAGCCACGGCUAACUACGUGCCAGCAGCCGCGGUAAUACGUAGGUGGCAAGCGUUGUCCGGAUUUAUUGGGCGUAAAGCGAGCGCAGGCGGUUUUUUAGGUCUGAUGUGAAAGCCUUCGGCUUAACCGGAGAAGUGCAUCGGAAACCGGGAGACUUGAGUGCAGAAGAGGACAGUGGAACUCCAUGUGUAGCGGUGAAAUGCGUAGAUAUAUGGAAGAACACCAGUGGCGAAGGCGGCUGUCUGGUCUGUAACUGACGCUGAG
This 743-nucleotide ribosomal RNA is filed under the name Lentilactobacillus buchneri. RNAcentral's name for it is "bacterial SSU rRNA". It matches the Rfam family "Bacterial small subunit ribosomal RNA", at positions 51 to 750 of the family's 1533-position model. The record is from RNAcentral. Lineage: Bacteria; Bacillati; Bacillota; Bacilli; Lactobacillales; Lactobacillaceae.